AAAAUGUAGUUAACUGAGAAUCAGAGUGGCCAGGGAGAGAAGAAGGGUAGAGGAGAAAACUCCAUUAAAAAAAAUCCUGUCCUGUAGUCCCCAAAAUUCUAAUAGUUUGAUGUCUGAACAACAUCACCCAGUCAACCUUUUCCAGUCACAAAGAAAUUCUUUGAUCCCAGAAAUAGGUCUAUCUAUGACAAGGCAUGUAACUUUUCUGCACCCCAGUUCCCCAAACUGUAAAACUAUACCAAAAUGAAUCCUACGAGAUAAGGGAUAUGAAACACUAAGAGAUCAUUCUUAAAACUAGUCAAACUUUUUCUGGCAGUAAGAGACAGUCAGUGAUCAAUGUGGGGGAAAGAGGAAAAUCAAGCUAAAAAGCAGUUCAUUCUGAUUUGAAAACAAAACAAAAUCCAUAGCUAUGGAAGACAACUGGGACAAAUGGGAAAUCUCAAUUUUGGAAUACUAGGUAAUUUUAUGGAAUCGUUAGCUUUUUUUAGUGUAAUAAUGAUAUUGUGGCUAGGAACAGAAUAUCUUUAAUCUUAGCAGAUGCAUGUUGAAGUACUUAGAGAUAAAAUGACAUGAUGAAAAACAUGACAUAUAUCUUCGACUUACGAAUGACUCAAAUAAUAGAAAGGGAGGGAGAGAAAGAAGAAGGUUUAUGAAAACUAACCAUCAUUAAAUCUAGGUGCAGGGUAUAUGGGUGCUCAUGGUGCUAUUUUUCAACUUUUCUGUAUGUAUGAAAAUUUGAAAUUUCCAUAAUACAAAGCAGGGAACAAGAGCAUUCUAGCCCUCUAGCAUUCUAGCUCAGGGGUGGGAGGAUAAAUGAGAACCACUCCCACUGAGGGGAACUUGGCAAGAGUUCUUAACACUGUUCAUGUGCCACACAUAUACCCUUUGACCUGGCAAUCCCACUUUAAGGAACAUAUCCUAUAGAUAUAACCACCUCUGUGAAAAAGCACUGUCAGUGAUGGUGGAGUAAAAUAAUCAAAAUGUAUGUUGACAGGGAACUAAUUAAUACAUUGUGUUACAGCUCAUCCUGUGCGAACCUUCAAGAAGACAUAUCUAGAAGAAAUGAUAAGGAAUAAACUAUUACUGCUCUCAUGGGGAGUAUCCACUGAGAAGAGAAGCAGAGCCCAUCUCAAAAACCUCAGCCCUCCUUCCAAAUUCCCUUUCUCUACUGGUUUUUCCUUCCUGCUAUCCACCUGACCACCAGAAAAGGUCCCAAUCCUUUGUGGAGGCAGGAGGAGAAAAAGAUAUCAUUCAUUUCUUUUCAAUGGCACGCAUUGUUAUUUGAUGGAAGGAAGAACUGUUGGGGAUUUGGAUAGUUAAAGAAGUUCACAUUUUUGCUCUUAGAAGGAGUCUUGCUUUGGGUCAGACAGUCCUCUACCAUUUGAAGUUGACGUCUAAGAAGAUGAGAACUCAACUUUAUAAAGUCUCCUCUUGUUUUGAGACAAAAGGAAAAAUAGAGGAAAAACCGGAAAGUCCAGCUCAGAGCACCCUAUCAUCUUCGGGCUGCCACCUGGGGCCUCCAGAGAGUAGAAGACCCUCCAGCAGUGGUCAAGGCCUUUCUCAUUCUCCCUACAGUCCUCUGAAUGCCCAAGUCCAGUGAUCCUGAGCUGCACCUUCACUAUUAAUGAAGACACACACCUGACACUUUUCUCCUUUGGAGAGAGAACUGUCCUUCCCAAAUCAGUCUUUUUGCUAUUGACAGCCUUAAGAUGAAGGUAAAAUCUCUAUUCCUUUCCCUCUCCUCUUACACAGAGCACA
Molecule: long non-coding RNA, 1758 nt
Filed under: Homo sapiens (human)
Lineage: Eukaryota; Metazoa; Chordata; Mammalia; Primates; Hominidae
Description: HSALNT0311802
Source: RNAcentral